Molecule: unclassified non-coding RNA, 401 nt
Filed under: soil metagenome
Description: partial contains 5.8S ribosomal RNA, internal transcribed spacer 2, and large subunit ribosomal RNA
Rfam family: 5.8S ribosomal RNA (bases 1-121)
Source: RNAcentral
GAUGAAGAACGUAGUGAAAUGCGAUAAGUAAUGUGAAUUGCAGAAUUCAGUGAAUCAUCGAAUCUUUGAACGCACCUUGCGCCCUUUGGCCAUUCCGAAGGGCAUGCCUGUUUGAGUAUCAUGAACACCUCAACUCUCAUGGCUUGCCAUGAUGAGCUUGGACUUUGGGGGUCUUGCUGGCCUGUGGUCGGCUCCUCUCAAAUGAAUCAGCUUGCCAGUGUUUGGUGGCAUCACAAGUGUGAUAACUAUCUGCGCUCGUGGUUUCCAUCAGAUAACCUCCAGUGAUGGAGGUUCGCUGGAGCUCAUAAAUGUCUCUCCUAAGCGAGGACAGCUCUUUUAAUGUUUGAUCUCAAAUCAGGUAGGACUACCCGCUGAACUUAAGCAUAUCAAUAAGCGGAGGA